GUGACUCUGGAGAAACUCGAUCAGCCGAGUGCCGAAGGUGCAAAGCGGGCGUGAAAAUGCCCGUCAAUCUCUCAGGCAAAAGGACAGAGGAAA
RNAcentral lists this non-coding RNA (93 nucleotides) under human gut metagenome. RNAcentral describes it as "Glycine riboswitch". It matches the Rfam family "Glycine riboswitch aptamer", at positions 9 to 86 of the family's 94-position model. From Rfam's summary of the family: This family represents the bacterial glycine riboswitch. Glycine riboswitches usually consist of two metabolite-binding aptamers domains with similar structures in tandem. The aptamers cooperatively bind glycine to regulate the expression of downstream genes. The record is from RNAcentral.